RNAcentral lists this unclassified non-coding RNA (234 nucleotides) under Hevea brasiliensis (rubber tree). Lineage: Eukaryota; Viridiplantae; Streptophyta; Magnoliopsida; Malpighiales; Euphorbiaceae. The record is from RNAcentral.
GCCAAAUGCCUCAAUUGGGCAUCCCUAGAUAGCAUGGAUGAGGACUUCCUAGCAUCAAAAGCCUUUGAACGUUUAUACAAGCUCCGGCGGAAUAACUGGUUGGCAAACUCUCUCUUGUCCGAACUUUCCAAGUAGUCUCUCAGUCCAAUUGAAUCAUCCAUCUGAUUUUCCUGACUAUUAUAAGUUCUAUAAGAUGAUGCGGUUCUAUCAGAAAAGUUUUUGAGACUCUUAACU